GGGAUCCCUCGCGGGUGCACCGCC
RNAcentral lists this non-coding RNA (24 nucleotides) under Arabidopsis thaliana (thale cress). The record is from RNAcentral. Lineage: Eukaryota; Viridiplantae; Streptophyta; Magnoliopsida; Brassicales; Brassicaceae.